CGACCCUUGGACAUCCAGAGUGAAGGGGGGCCCCCCAAAGUGAUGGGGACUGAACCCCAAAGUGAUGGGGAGUGACCCCUGGACAUGUGGAGUGAAGGGGGGACCCCCAAAGGGGUGGGGAGUGACCCCUGGACAUUUGGAGUGAAGGGGGGACCCCCAAAGUGAUGGGGAGUGACCCCUGGACAUGUGGAGUGAAGGGGGGACCCCAAAGUGAUUGAGGGGACCCCCAAAGUGAUGGGGAGUGAACCCUGGAUGUCUGGAGUGAAGGGGGGACCCCCAAAAGUGAUGGAGAGCGACCCCUGGAUGUCUGGGUUGAUUUUGGGACCCCCAAAGUGAUGGGGAGCGACCCCUGGACAUCUGGAGUGAAGGGGGGACCCCCAAAAUGAUGAGUAGUGACCCCAGGACAUCUGGAGUGAAGGGGGGACCCCCAAAAGUGAUGGGGAGCGACCCCUGGACAUGUGGAGUGAAGAGGGGACCCCCAAAAUGAUGGGGAGCGAUCCCUGGACAUCUGAAGGGGGGACCCCUAAAGGGGUGAGGAGUGAACCCCAAAGUGAUGGGGAGUGACCCCUGGACAUGUGGAGUGAAGGGGGGACCCCAAAAUGAUGGGAGGGACCCCAAAAGUGAUGGGGAGCGACCCCUGGACAUCUGAAGGGGGGACCCCUAAAGGGGUGAGGAGUGAACCCCAAAGUGAUGGGAAGUGACCCCGUGACAUCUGGAGUGAAGGGGGGACCCCCAAAAGUGAUGGGGGGACCCCCAAAGUGAUGGGGAGCGACCCCUGGACAUGUGGAGUGAAGGGGGGACCCCCAAAUGAUGGGGGGACCCCAAAAGUGAUGGGAAGCAACCCCUGGACAUGUGGAGUGAAGAGGGGACCCCCAAAGUGAUUGAGGGGACCCCCAAAAGUGAUGGGGAGCGACCCCUGGACAUGUGGAGUGAAGAGGAGACCCCCAAAAGUGAUGGGGAGCAACCCCUGGACA
Corapipo altera (White-ruffed manakin) is the source of this 974-nucleotide long non-coding RNA. RefSeq lists it as uncharacterized. The transcript has 6 exons. The record is from RefSeq and is a predicted model, not a curated record. Lineage: Eukaryota; Metazoa; Chordata; Aves; Passeriformes; Pipridae.